This is a long non-coding RNA of Hyla sarda, 1154 nucleotides long. RefSeq lists it as uncharacterized. The record is from RefSeq and is a predicted model, not a curated record. Lineage: Eukaryota; Metazoa; Chordata; Amphibia; Anura; Hylidae. The transcript is spliced from 5 exons.
CUAUUCUUUAUUUUCAUUUAUGCAAAUUCUUGUUGGAUUACCGGAUGACAAAAUGUAGCUCAGCUCACCACCCUCAAUGGACACCAGUAGAAUAGUGGGGAGCAUGGAUCACACAGCGGGCCGUAUCCUGUACAAAUAGAGGAGAAAAAAGAGUUGAUGGAUUCCAGCUCUCCCAGGACACUGUGGCUGCUGACCUUCGCUCCAACAGCGAUUCUACGUGCCUGCUGAGGUGUUGUGCCCUGUUCACAACUCUAUCUAGUUUUUAGGUAAGUAGAAUUGGUGGCACAAAAAAUAAGCCCUCAAAUGGAUUUUUAGGUGCAAAAUUGAAAGAGUUAUGAUUUUUUAACGGUCACAGCACUCUCCACUACCACCUGCCAUGUGCUGUCCAGACUUUCCCCAAUUGGGGCCAAACCAGAGUCUUUCAAGGCUACACCCACUCAGCAUAGUGGUGCAGUGCAUUAUUGCCACCAUGUGUGACUUUUCUACCAGCAUUAGUCCCAUCUAGGGCUUAUACCAGCACCUAUGCCUCUUCUUGUGUCUGCAAGCCCUGAAAACGCUAAUUCUUGUUUCUAUAUUCUGCUGUGACGCAACAUGGUCAAAGUCUGAAGUCUGGAGGAAGAAGUCUAAGCAAGUCGAAGAAGGAAAGAGAACGAUUCUGCAUAGAUGCCCCCUAUUCAGGCUGCAGAUACUGUUAACACAGUCAUACUGUAGGGCCUCCCCACACAGUGCUCCCUCUUGGGUGUGGUCACAUAAUUAUUAUGAUUAAUUGUUUAUAUCAUUUUUCAUUUCUAAUAACCAGGUUAUACUUAUUUCAUAUUAAGGUUUUAUAUUUUAUUACUGACAUAACUAGAAUAAUUAGAAUACAGACAGAAAAAAAAGGGAAAGGCCAUGUCAAGAUUCACUGAGGAGUAGUGACAAUAAUAGAUUUAAUGUCAAAAUAUAUUGUGCUGUGGGACCACUUUCCAACAUUUGAUUUGUUAAUGCAGCGGAAUUGAGUUACAGUAUAUUUUGGUAGAGAUGUCAGGGUUCCUUUCAUAAACAAAGUCAUGUGAUUUACCGUAUGUUCACAAUAUUGAAUUUUUUUUAAUAAAAACUAAAUAUGUCAUAUUUUUGAGUGAUAUUUACAUAAAGUACUUUUUAUUUUAAGAGCUAGA